This 497-nucleotide ribosomal RNA is filed under the name uncultured bacterium. RNAcentral's name for it is "partial 16S ribosomal RNA". It matches the Rfam family "Bacterial small subunit ribosomal RNA", at positions 28 to 507 of the family's 1533-position model. The record is from RNAcentral.
GAUGAACGCUGGCGGCGUGCCUAAUACAUGCAAGUCGAGCGAACAGACGAGGAGCUUGCUCCUCUGACGUUAGCGGCGGACGGGUGAGUAACACGUGGAUAACCUACCUAUAAGACUGGGAUAACUUCGGGAAACCGGAGCUAAUACCGGAUAAUAUAUUGAACCGCAUGGUUCAAUAGUGAAAGACGGUUUUGCUGUCACUUAUAGAUGGAUCCGCGCCGCAUUAGCUAGUUGGUAAGGUAACGGCCUACCAAGGCAACGAUGCGUAGCCGACCUGAGAGGGUGAUCGGCCACACUGGAACUGAGACACGGUCCAGACUCCUACGGGAGGCAGCAGUAGGGAAUCUUCCGCAAUGGGCGAAAGCCUGACGGAGCAACGCCGCGUGAGUGAUGAAGGUCUUCGGAUCGUAAAACUCUUUUAUUAGGGAAGAACAAAUGUGUAAGUAACUAUGCACGUCUUGACGGUACCUAAUCAGAAAGCCACGGCUAACUACGUG